GGUGGUGUAGCUCAGUAGUAGAGUGCUUGCCUAGCAUGUACAAAGCCCUGGGUUUGACCCAGCACUCCUC
This 70-nucleotide transfer RNA is filed under the name Cavia porcellus (domestic guinea pig). It matches the Rfam family "tRNA". Rfam says of the family: Transfer RNA (tRNA) molecules are approximately 80 nucleotides in length. Their secondary structure includes four short double-helical elements and three loops (D, anti-codon, and T loops). Further hydrogen bonds mediate the characteristic L-shaped molecular structure. tRNAs have two regions of fundamental functional importance: the anti-codon, which is responsible for specific mRNA codon recognition, and the 3' end, to which the tRNAs corresponding amino acid is attached (by aminoacyl-tRNA synthetases). tRNAs cope with the degeneracy of the genetic code in two manners: having more than one tRNA (with a specific anti-codon) for a particular amino acid; and 'wobble' base-pairing, i.e. permitting non-standard base-pairing at the 3rd anti-codon position. Lineage: Eukaryota; Metazoa; Chordata; Mammalia; Rodentia; Caviidae. The record is from Rfam by way of RNAcentral.